Molecule: long non-coding RNA, 115 nt
Filed under: Dasypus novemcinctus (nine-banded armadillo)
Lineage: Eukaryota; Metazoa; Chordata; Mammalia; Cingulata; Dasypodidae
Description: lncRNA (ENSDNOG00000052563.1)
Source: RNAcentral
GCGUGCUGGGCGGUGGGCGAGAGCUAUGCUGUAGGUAAUUGCUGAGCCCAGGAGAUGAGUGGCGCCCGAGCCCCUGCCACUGUCCCUGCAGUCGCCACCCAGGUGAAGCUGGGGG